CACCCACCCGUGUUUACAUACUAUUGUUGCUUUGGGGGGACGUGNCCUCCACUGCGGGCUCUGCUCGUGUGUGCCCGCCNGAGGACCAAACUCUGAAUGUUAGUGAUGUCUGAGUACUAUCUAAUAGANAAAACUUUCAACAACGGAUCUCUUGGUUCUGGCAUCGAUGAAGAACGCACCGAAAUGCAAUAAGUAAUGUGAAUUGCAGAAUUCAAUGAAUCAUCGAAUCUUUGAACGCACAUUGCGCCCUGUGGUAUUCCGCAGGGCAUGCCUGUUCGAGCGUCAUUUAACCACUCACGCCUAGCGUGGUAUUGGGGCACGCGGUCUCCGCGGCCCUCAAAAUUAGUGGCGGUGCCGGUGGGCUCUGAGCGUACUACAUACUCCCGCUAUAGAGUUCCCCCCGGUGGCUCGCCAGAACCCCCAAUUUUUACGGGUUGACCUCGGAUCAGGUAGGGAUACCCGCUGAACUUAAGCAUAUCAAUAAGCGGAGGAA
This 493-nucleotide ribosomal RNA is filed under the name uncultured Phialocephala. Its description in RNAcentral is "eukaryotic LSU rRNA". The stretch from base 132 to 285 matches the Rfam family "5.8S ribosomal RNA". The record is from RNAcentral. Lineage: Eukaryota; Fungi; Ascomycota; Leotiomycetes; Helotiales.